CCAGACAGCCAGGAUGUUGGCUUAGAAGCAGCCAUCAUUUAAAGAAAGCGUAAUAGCUCACUGGUCGAGUCGGCCUGCGCGGAAGAUGUAACGGGGCUAAACCAUGCACCGAAGCUGCGGCAGCGACGCUUAUGCGUUGUUGGGUAGGGGAGCGUUCUGUAAGCCUGUGAAGGUGUACUGUGAGGUAUGCUGGAGGUAUCAGAAGUGCGAAUGCUGACAUAAGUAACGAUAAAGCGGGUGAAAAGCCCGCUCGCCGGAAGACCAAGGGUUCCUGUCCAACGUUAAUCGGGGCAGGGUGAGUC
Molecule: ribosomal RNA, 302 nt
Filed under: Escherichia coli
Lineage: Bacteria; Pseudomonadati; Pseudomonadota; Gammaproteobacteria; Enterobacterales; Enterobacteriaceae
Description: partial 23S ribosomal RNA
Rfam family: Bacterial large subunit ribosomal RNA
Source: RNAcentral